UAGCUAAUUGUUUCCAUAUUAGGGUUUGAACUUUCUUUUGGCCCAAAUUAGUCAUUGAAUUAGGCAAUUUUUCCCAUAUUGAGACUUGAACGAGAUAAUUGUUCCCAUAUUGGAGUUUGCACUUUUUUUUGUCUAAAUUAGUUCUUGAACUUGGUAAUUGUUCCCAUGUUAGGGCCUAAAUUUUAGAAUUUUCAAAGAAACAUGAUUAAUUAACUUAGACAAAAAAAAACUAGCCCCAACAAAGAACAAUUGUUAAGUUCAAAGACUAAUUUGGAUUAAAAAAAACUCAAACUCUAAUGUGUAAACAAUUAUCAA
This 315-nucleotide microRNA precursor is filed under the name Gossypium raimondii (Peruvian cotton). RNAcentral describes it as "miR8778 stem-loop (gra-MIR8778)". Lineage: Eukaryota; Viridiplantae; Streptophyta; Magnoliopsida; Malvales; Malvaceae. The record is from miRBase by way of RNAcentral.